Molecule: non-coding RNA, 851 nt
Organism: Oryzias latipes (Japanese medaka)
Lineage: Eukaryota; Metazoa; Chordata; Actinopteri; Beloniformes; Adrianichthyidae
Source: RefSeq, a predicted model, not a curated record
UCUGGAUGUCGUCACGGGAUCCCGGGACGGACCGACUGCUCCCACAGUGAAGACGUUGGGAUUCGCUGCAGAGGGAGGGCCCCUCUCUGGGGCAGAACAUCCAGGGCUGCAGACGCAGGGGUGAAGUGUGACGCUAAACCCCACAAGGUGGCAGUGAAGACCAAGCCUGAGGAGCUGAGCUGUGGGUUAAGGAAGAUGGUGGAGGGCCAGAGGAGGAGCCAUGAAGAGGAAAGCACGAUUUGCAAUCAAAUACGGAAAAACUGGCAGUUUGCUCUUCCCCCUGGACUACGUGGUCUUGACAGGUGUCAGCGGGGCUUCAGUCUCAGAGGGAGGGCGAGGGGCCCCUCUGCAGCGGCAUGCUGAUCAGCCCCUGCUGGGCGCUGACAUCUGCGUUCUGCCUCGGCGGGUAAAUCCCACACUUCCUUCUGUAUCAGUUAUGGGAAAAAGCUGCUCACUCAGACUCAGCUCCUUAUUUAUUUAUUUUUAACCCUAACCUCGUCCUGCAGGUUUGGCAGCGAUCCCACCAUCCAUGUGGUGAGUCGGGGUGUCGGAGCAAACGCUGACACCCGAGCAGCUGGUGCUUGACAGGAAGUUCAAGGGGCAGAGCGGCGAUCACGACCUGAUAUUGCUGAAGCUGCCCAGCACCAAGGGUCUGACCUUUGACCCCAACACCAACGCAGCCUGUCUUCCCGGUACUGAUGGGGCAGAAGGGAACCUACCUGCUUAUUGUGUUGUCAUGGUUACACUGGAUGGGCAGGACCAGUGCCUUCAGACAACCAAAGCUGUGAACUGACUCUAAAUAAAGUGGUGGGUUAAAAAGAAGGAAAGGGGAAAAGGGAGAGGAAGAGGAA